This is a long non-coding RNA of Neopsephotus bourkii (Bourke's parrot), 424 nucleotides long. RefSeq lists it as uncharacterized. NCBI's taxonomy places the organism in Eukaryota, Metazoa, Chordata, Aves, Psittaciformes, Psittacidae. The record is from RefSeq and is a predicted model, not a curated record. The transcript has 3 exons.
AGAGAAUCCUGAUGCCUCUCAAUAAGCAAAAUGAGAAGUUCUUACAGAUGACUCCAUUUGCUACUGCUUUUAUUUCUCUUCUCUGAGUAUCAGCAGACAUAACCAGGAAGCUAUGCCACUAGAGCAGGUUUCCAAGAUCUGUAAUAUCCACUCACAACAAGAGGGCUAAUUAUGUAGUUAAUGUGUGGAUCAGAAGAAUCAGAAUAUACUGCCUGAAAGAGGCAGAGGGCCCUCACACAGGGAGACACAAGGAGAAAUAGCAAAACUCUAAAAGGACAAAUCUACAUGGACAGAAGAGGCCAAGCUCCAGCUUUUAUACUUGCUUUCUCUAAACUGGCUGGCCUAGAAUCAGUGCUGCUCCAGAAGAUGCAAGAUACAUAUUCUAGAAGAUACAUAAUAGCUAUGUAAUAUAUCAGAAUUAACA